GUGUCAGCCGCCGCGGUAAGACGGAGAGUGCAAACGUUGUUCGGAUUUACUGGGCGUAGAGGGCACGUAGGCGGCCAGGCAAAUCAGUUGUGGAAUCCCGACGCCUACCGUCGGAACGGCAAUUGAAAAUACCUGGCUCGAGGGCAUGAGGGGUCGCGGGAACUCUUGGUGGAGCGGUGAAAUGCGUAGAUAUCAAGAGGAACGCCGGAGGCGAAAGCGCGCGACUGGCAUGACCCUGACGCUGAGGUGCGAAAGCCGGGGGAGCAAACAGGAUUAGAUACCCGAGUAGUCC
RNAcentral lists this ribosomal RNA (292 nucleotides) under uncultured bacterium. RNAcentral describes it as "partial 16S ribosomal RNA". It matches the Rfam family "Bacterial small subunit ribosomal RNA", at positions 505 to 796 of the family's 1533-position model. The record is from RNAcentral.